CCCUGCCAUUUGUACACACCGCCCGUCGAUACUACCGAUUGAAUGGCUUAGUGAGAACUCUGGAUGGCAGUUUGGUCGCAAGGCCGGACAGCCAGAAAUCGUUCAAACUUAUCCAUUUAGAGGAAGUA
RNAcentral lists this ribosomal RNA (128 nucleotides) under uncultured eukaryote. RNAcentral describes it as "partial small subunit ribosomal RNA". It matches the Rfam family "Eukaryotic small subunit ribosomal RNA", at positions 1651 to 1784 of the family's 1831-position model. The record is from RNAcentral.